CGCACUGAUGACCAGUGGGACCAAGGGCCUUUGGUGGUUAAAUAUGCCUUUAUAUACAUGGAUACCAGAUGCAUGUGCUUAGAAAGAUGAUUUUUGAUUAAGAACUCAGAGCAAGAGUAUCUUUAAUGGUGUAUACAAAUUUGACAAACAACGCAUUUUAAUGUCUGAUAACUACAUUUCCUAUCCAUCAGUUCUACUUCAUGAAAGUUAGUUUUGGUUUGUGAGUGCAUUAAAUGUUUUACAGCAGAUUCUUUAGCUACAUUAUCAAAACUUAUCUGGGUGGCAAGUUUAUGGGACUUACUGACCAAAAGGUCAUGGUGAAUAGCUGUAAGUCAUAAAGUAGAUGAAAUUCUUGACCAAGAUGUAUCCUUCAGUAGUUUCUUCAAAGUGUCUAAAUAUGUUUCCAGCCCUCUAUUGGUUUACCACCAAAAUAUUUGUAUUUCAAAGAUCUGUGCAAAGAUUUGGCGUGCAUGUUGGUGUUAAUGCCUGCGUUCUUUUGAUAACACUGGGCCCAUGACUUCAUGCACUCUUUAUUUUGAAAGUAGCAUUCCAAUAUGUAGCUGUAACUAUCAUCUGUCAUGAAAUAAUUGGGUACCAAAACCGAUAUUAAUGAUUUUAUUUCACCAACCAGAACCUCUUAUAUGUUGGUGUCCUUUCAGUUGGACAGAAUAAAUGUUACUGGAUAAUCAAUAUUUUUAUCAUCUAACACAUGGACUUGUGGUCAAUUCAAUGUCAUAGAGGUUUGUCCCAUGUGUGCCAUCUACACAAAUGAUUUUGGCGCCAUAUUUUUUUAACAUAUACUCCAGCCCACUGUACAUGGAAGCUAAUGCAGUCAUUUUUGUGCAAUUUUUCAUGUUCUGAUGCACAACAACAUUUUCCUUACUUCAUUUACCAGAUAUAUUAUUUUUUCUGCAAUGUGGGGAAUGUCUUUCAUAGUCAGAAGAUUAAAUCUGGUACAUGAACUGAGUUCUAGAUUUUUAACAGUUUCAAUUAUUUUUUCGUGUGUUACACCAGUGCGAAUUUGUUCAACUAGAUAUGUCGUUUCUUUUGUAGUCAGGGGUUGACAGCGAAGAUCAUUGUGAUGAACAACAUGAAUAGCAAUAAACUGAACAAGUACCACUGAGGAAGAAUGAUCAAAGUGAGCUGUAAUUCGUGAAGGACAGACUCCUUGCAUUUUGAUACUGCCACUAAUUUUAGGAGCUCGUAUAUUACAUUUACUAACAGAAUUUGCUAGAUUACUUCUGACAUUCAUAGUAGAAAAUAAUAAUUCGUCAUAUAAAAGAAUUAGUUUUUAACUCUAAAUCCGCUUUUCGUGUAAAAAAAAUCUUCCGUUUUCUUAAAUUGUAGAUCCUUUACUUCCAACUCAAUGUUAUAAACGAUGUUGAAAUGAUUCGUUAAUAAGUGAAAACGCUGAAAGUUUUCAAAGCAUAGCGGACAAAUUAUUCUGCUAGUUUUUAAUAUUUUUGAAAUUGUCGCCGUGAAAAUAUCUUAGAUGUCGAUUUGUACUUGAAAUUAUUUCACACAAUAAGCACAUUUUGUUAACACUUCAAACUUUUGGAUGCUCAUACUGAAAUAUGUUUUGUCAUGUCUAGUGCUUGUUUUUACUUAAUAAAAUAAUAGAACUUUA
Long non-coding RNA from Zophobas morio, 1627 nucleotides. RefSeq lists it as uncharacterized. The record is from RefSeq and is a predicted model, not a curated record. The transcript has 2 exons. NCBI's taxonomy places the organism in Eukaryota, Metazoa, Arthropoda, Insecta, Coleoptera, Tenebrionidae.